Molecule: ribosomal RNA, 522 nt
Filed under: uncultured bacterium
Lineage: Bacteria
Description: bacterial SSU rRNA
Rfam family: Bacterial small subunit ribosomal RNA
Source: RNAcentral
AGGGUUUGAUCAUGGCUCAGAUUGAACGCUGGCGGUAGGCUUAACACAUGCAAGUCGUGCGAGAAAGUAUCUUCGGAUAUGAGUAGAGCGGCGGACGGGUGAGUAACGCGUAGGAAUCUACCUAGUAGAAGGGGAUAGCCCGAGGAAACUCGGAUUAAUACCGUAUACCUCCUUUGGGAGAAAGAGGGCCUCUCUUGAUGCUCUCGCUACUAGAUGAGCCUGCGUAAGAUUAGCUUGUUGGUGAGGUAAUGGCUCACCAAGGCUACGAUCUUUAGCUGGUCUGAGAGGACGAUCAACCACAUUGGGACUGAGACACGGCCCAGACUCCUACGGGAGGCAGCAGUGGGGAAUAUUGGACAAUGGGCGCAAGCCUGAUCCAGCCAUACCGCGUGUGUGAAGAAGGCCUUCGGGUUGUAAAGCACUUUCAGUCGUGAGGAAAGGGGUGUAGCUAAUAUCUGCAUCCUGUGACGUUAGCGACAGAAGAAGCACCGGCUAACUCCGUGCCAGCCGCCGCGGUAAUAC